This is a long non-coding RNA of Choloepus didactylus (southern two-toed sloth), 3352 nucleotides long. RefSeq lists it as uncharacterized. The transcript has 3 exons. NCBI's taxonomy places the organism in Eukaryota, Metazoa, Chordata, Mammalia, Pilosa, Megalonychidae. The record is from RefSeq and is a predicted model, not a curated record.
CGGCGGCGUCCGGGGUCCCCCCGCGGCGGAGCGCGCACCCUGGCGCCCGCGCCCUGCGCUCGGCGGCGUCCCCUCCCUCGGCCGCGCCGCGCGCUGUCACCGCAGACCCGCCGCGAGCCGAGCGCGCCGGCCGCAGACGCCGGACCGCAACGUGAACGAAUGCGCUAGGCACACAGCGGAGUCAGAGAGCCUUCGCAACUGCCGUCUGCAAUUCCGAGUUCCAAACACGAGAGGAGCGUUCAUGAAGGCGCGCCCGUGAGUGGGUACCGGGUGCCGGGGAGUGGGGGUCGAAAUCCCUGCCGUUUCCACUCUACUCUCCAGCAGCCGCCGGAGCCAGCGCGCUGCAGGCACGUCUGUUUUCUAUUUCGCCUCCGCCGCCUUCUCUCAGGAGGCUGGUGGGGUUUGGGGACCCAAGGGAAUGCUGAGAUUUGGCGUCGUGGUUCUUCUAGAUGUUUUCUCUGGCAGGCCAGAAGACUCCCAAAAAGCACAUCAACAGAUGGAAAAGCAAACAUCUAAGCCGUCAGAUGCUGCCAAAGUUUACUCCAAACAAGGAAGUCGGGAAAAUCGCCACGCCCACUUCCUCCCAGCAUCUGUCCCCAUAACCAGCGCGGUGCCCCGACAGCAUUACCGUCCCUGGCCGGAAGGGACUGCACACCUACAGAACCACUAAAUGCAUUGCUUCAAGUGCAAAACCUUUCAGCAAGCCCUUUCAACGCAAGGCUCUUCCACCAAAUCAAGUGAAGCUGACUGCUAAUGUUACAUAAGCCAAGAAAGAAUUAGUUCAAAACUAAGAUAAAAAAGAAGCAUUGCUUUUGCUUGCUCUCUCAGAAAUGCUUCCUCAAAAAAGCCUGUCAGAGAGAAGAUGUCACCUCAUCAUUUCAUUAAUGCAUUUCAACCAUUCUCGGGCAGAAAGCCAUCUACCAUUUAGAAUUCUCCCAACAACCAGUGGUCUGAGAAUUGUAAAGCCAAGUUGCUCCAACAAGAGCAUUAUGAACACCCCUCAUGGACAUCUGGAGCUGUCUGACAACCACUCCCAGUUCUGGGAAGGGUACCCUCCCAUUCACGUGAUCACAGAAACAGCUGUAAGCAAUGAGUUCCUGAACUGCAACCCUGCUCCUCUGGCUGCUAACAGUAGGAUUUAGGUUUGGCUAAUGAGCAGCUUCACUGGGAAUAUGGAAUUGUGAGAGGUGAAGAGAAAGUUCCAUUAUAUUCCAGGCCUGUGUUCUAACCAGUAUAUGAGAAUCGGAUCUUCUCAAAUUCCAUUAGAUGUCCUAAUAUCCUAAAUUCUAAUUUACUAAAUUCUAAUUCUAAAUACUAAAUUCUAAUAUACUAAAUUCCCUUUCUGUGGGUAACCCAGCAUAAGGGAGUUUCUGUUGCUUGCAACCAAGAGUCCUAACUAAUCCACCAAGCAAGCUCCCUUCAAGAAGGAAAGGAGAGAAGGGAGAAAUUAACAGAGAAAGGGAGGAAUUAAACCAAAAAUUUUUAGUGCCACCUACGACUACUACUACACCCUUUUCCAUUUCAUUUUACUUCUGCCUUACUGUUUCCCUAGAACCCACUCUUUGUUUCUAAUAUUCAUUGGGCCCAGGGAUGGCAAAGACAAUCUAACUAAAAAGAGAAGAUAAAAAAGCAAAAUGCCUACACACCUGGGGGCUCAAGAGUACCCCAGAAAGGGACAUGGAAGGCCCAGAUGGAGAUUACUGAAUUCUAUUUGCACAAAAAAGCAAUUUUUUCUUUGUGAUAUAAUUGGCAUCCUGACCAUUUUUUUGACUUUUUUCUAAGUUUACAUAUUAGUGCAUCAGUGAAAGGAAUUGUUCUUCAGUGUCUCAAAAAAUUCAUGUCUCAAUAUUUAUUGUUUGAGUGACUCUCUGCCCAAUGUUCUUCUCAUAACAUUACAUGGAAAGUAAAAGUAAAUUAGAUUUCUUUUUUGCACUAAGAAUAUGGAGAAAAUUUUACAGUAGCCUUUGCAAUUAGAUUUUGAAAAAUUGGGACAGCCUCUGGGGUACAGAGAAACCAAUGUAACUGCUUUGAAUUUCUUUUUCAUAAUCCAGAAUAUCAAAGCCUGGAUUGUCCUUCCCCCUUAGCCCACCUGGUUUGCCUCAAGAACCCCUCCUUAUCCUUCAAGUCUUCACUGAUGCCCCAGGUCCUCCAGAAAGCAUUUCCUGCCUGACCUUCCUAGUGAAGAGGGAGAAGAUGGACAGGGGUGAUCACUUGACCCUCCAUUGGACCCUGUUUUCCAUCUCCAUCAUAGAACCUUCCAAGCCCAGGCCUGCCUUUACCACUCUCUUUCCAGCUGCUCCCACAGGAGGAGAAUUUCUUAUCUGCCUAGUCAGAGUUCCAAGACAUUCCUUGGGUCAAACUCACUAGGUCAAGGGUCUCUGCUGGGCACAGCACAUACGACACCUCCAUGAGGAUUAGAAAAGGAUGCCCUUCCCUCCCCUUAAGCCCUCAUAGUCAGGCAUUUCUGGGUCCCUACCCAUCAUACUUCCAUAAUAUCAUUGAACUCUCACUCUUAAACUCCAAUAGUCCCUAUCUCUACAAAUACUUCUCCCAUUCUCUCUACUGUCCAAAUAUAGAACCUGGGAGUCAUUACCAUCUCCUCCAUCUUUCUCAUCUAAACAGUCACCAAGUUGUGGCAGAACAACUAUCUAGAUAUGCCUACUCCUUCCCAUGCCCUCUGCCCUCACCUCCCUUAGUCAGGCUACCAUUAGCUCUCACGUGGACCAUCACAACAGCCACCUAACUCCCCAACCUGUUUGCAUUCUUCACUCCAGCCCAUUCUCUGCUCUGCAGCCAACGUGAUCUUUUUAAAUAAAAAUUUUGUCAUACCCUUUCUCUGCUUAAAGCCCUUCAGUGGUCUCCUUCACUCAAGAACUCUUAAGAUAAAGUAAAAACUCCUCAACUUGGUUCAUAAUGCCCUACAGGAUCUUGGUCCAAGGAAGCAUAGAAGAUUCUUGGAGAGAUUAGAGUCAGAGCAUGAAGGGCUGUUGGGGAUUAAAUCAUGUUCCCCACAAAAGACAUGUUCAAGUCUUAAUCCACAUUCCUAUGUGUGUGAACACAUUUGUAAAUAGGCUCUUUGAAGAUGUACUAACAGGAUCUUCAAGGGAUCUUCAAAGAUCUUAUUUAGGUGUGGCCAAACUGAAUCAGAUGGGCCUUAAUUCAUUUGUCUGAAGAUCUUCUAAAGAGGAAAUUCAGAUGCAGUCGGAGAAGCCAGAAACCAGGUAGAAGCAAGAAGACAAAGAAAGCCACAAGAGGAGACCAAGGACACUGCCAUGUGAUAGAGGCAGAGAUGCAGUCAAGGAGCCCCAAGAAUUGCAGCAAGCGAUCACCAGAACGUUAUAGACUCUGACAG